This 807-nucleotide long non-coding RNA is filed under the name Sorghum bicolor (sorghum). Its description in RNAcentral is "long non-coding RNA (SBIC_LNC016146)". The record is from RNAcentral. Lineage: Eukaryota; Viridiplantae; Streptophyta; Magnoliopsida; Poales; Poaceae.
GAGUAAAACAUUUUAAAACAUUCUUUAUUUUUGCAGGGUGUUAAAAAAUCCACUGUGUAUUGUAGUCAGGGAAGUGUAUGGUUAAGAGUAAAGAUCCUUUCUUCUCAAUCCUGUCACUUGGAGUUUUUGUAUAUUUUUGAAACAAAGUUAGCAUACCUUUUUAUCCUCAUAGGUUCUCUCAGAUCACUGAUUAUCUUUUAUAUAUCUCACUGAGGCUGUUUUAAUUUGCAAAAAUUCUCAAGCAUACUUACUUUGCAUUUAUUGCCUGAUCAAAACGGGAUCCGAGGAGGGGAAUGUCAUACUCUUAGAUCAAAGACUUUGGAAAUUAAAAACUUUGUCAACUCUUGCUGGCAUAUUGCUUAUUAGAGGGACCAUGGGCUAUCAUUUUCUCUCUUUUUUUUUUAAGUGGAUACUGAGGUGCCCCUAAUUCUACUGCCGGACACUAGUCCAUUUUUUCUGCGAGGUUGUCGAGCACUUGCUCCUUUUUAUUUCCUCGAAAUAUCUUUAUUUUUGCAUAGCCCAUGCCUCUAAUGCAAUAGUACUUCGGAAGAGUGAAUCUUUCUGAAUAAAUGUCUUGAUCUUAGGAGCAUGAUAAAUCUCUCAACAUGGGUCUAACUCAUUUUGAACAAACUCAGUACAGAGUAGAUAACUUUUAUAAUCAUAAUUAAUAUUUUCAGUUUUAUCAGGCAUAUAAAACACUGAGGAUGGUAGCUAGAAUUUUGAAGAUUUUGAAAUAAAUUCUCCAAGCAACAAUGAUAUCAAGAAUAAGAAACUCAUACUCUACCAUCUCACAUUCCAUACUAUCUU